GACGAACGCUGGCGGCGUGCCUAAUACAUGCAAGUUAAGCGAUGAAGAUCGGUGCGUGCACCAAGUUGAAGAGCAGCGAACGGGAGAGUAACGUGUGGGGAAUCUGCCUUUGAGCGGGGGACAACAAUCGGAAACGAAUGCUAAUACCGCAUAACAACUUUAAACAUAAGGUUGAAGUGUGAAAGAUGCAAUUGCAUCACUCAAAGAUGAUCCCGCGUUGUAUGAGCUAGUUGGUGAGGUAAAGGCUCACCAAGGCGAUGAUACAUAGCCGACCUGAGGGGGUGAUGGGCCACUGUGGGGCUGAGACACGGCCCAAACUCUUACGGGAGGCACCAGUAGGGACUCUUCGGAGAUGGGCGGAAGUCUGCCCGAUGGACGCCAGGUGAGUGCAGCAGGUCUUCGGAUCGUAUGACUCUGUUCGUGGAGUAGACCGUUUGUGAGUGUGGCAAGCUCAUCAAGUGACGGUAACUACACAAAAAGGAACGGCUAACUACGUG
This 497-nucleotide ribosomal RNA is filed under the name uncultured bacterium. Its description in RNAcentral is "partial 16S ribosomal RNA". It matches the Rfam family "Bacterial small subunit ribosomal RNA", at positions 28 to 507 of the family's 1533-position model. The record is from RNAcentral.